AUGUCGUCUGAGUACUAUAUUAUAGCUAAAACUUUCAACAACGGAUCUCUUGGUUCUGGCAUCGAUGAAGUACGCAGCGAAAUGCAAUAAGUUAUGUGCAAUGCAGAAUUCAGUGAAUCAUCGAAUCAUUUGUAACGACAAUGCACACCAUGGUUAUUCAC
This 161-nucleotide ribosomal RNA is filed under the name Sclerotinia sclerotiorum. RNAcentral describes it as "5.8S ribosomal RNA". The stretch from base 30 to 161 matches the Rfam family "5.8S ribosomal RNA", at positions 1 to 131 of the family's 154-position model. From Rfam's summary of the family: 5.8S ribosomal RNA (5.8S rRNA) is a component of the large subunit of the eukaryotic ribosome. It is transcribed by RNA polymerase I as part of the 45S precursor that also contains 18S and 28S rRNA. Lineage: Eukaryota; Fungi; Ascomycota; Leotiomycetes; Helotiales; Sclerotiniaceae. The record is from RNAcentral.